CCAUUCCAUUGCAUUGCAUUUUGUUGUACUGUACUUGUACUGUUCAAUGACAAUAAAGUUGAAAUCUAAUCUAAUCUAAUUUUGCGUACGAUGCAGUGUGCUUAUCAACAUUCUAUGCAAAGGUAUCUCUUACAGGCAAGACACAUCAGAAGGCACGUCCACAUCGUUUCUUUGUUGACUAUGUUUUGGGGGAAGGCCAUGGUUUGUGGAAGUAUAUUCAUGGUCUGGUGUCGUUUGACACACCCUCCUUUCCCUAUAUGCACAACUUUUUAUGUGUUUACUUUAGUGCAUCCAAUUUUGUCCACUAUCUUCACAAGCUUUCAAGGUCCUGACGCAGAGAAACUUCCUCAUAGAAUAAUUCUGUCACCACCAUAUUUCAGGCUAAGGACAGUGUUCUCAGAAGGAUGUGCGGUGUUCAGCUUGAGCCAAAAUUAUCGCCCAGCUUUUGAGGACAAAAUAACUCUAUGUUGGUUUUCUCCAACCAUAUAAUUUUCUUCCACUUCUCAGAUUCUUCCACAUGCCUUCUGGCAAACUUUAGCUGAGAUUUGAUGAUGACUACCUUAGUGAAGCACCCAGACUAUUGUUGCAGUAUGCACAAGUGUGUUCCAACUCAGCUGAUGAAAACUGAAGGCGGGGCCAUGCAGCAGGCAGAUUGUAGGCCUUGAGAUCACUUAGCGUUAGUUUUACCUCAGAUCGCUAACUCACCUCACUCUAUAUUUUAUUCACCACCCACGGCAAGCACUUACAUUUUAGUGAUUGGCCUGGGUCAAGCAUUAUAUGGUAAUCGUGACCUCUGUGCCAAUCAGAAAAUGGGAGAAGAAACUAGGGGAAUCAACAAGGGAGGGGAACUUUUUAUUUUGGGCACAUGCGUGAAACCGAUAUUCUACAUAUCUUUUGCUGCUGAGAAUGGCCGGUGUGAAUGCUAAUUGUUCAAACCUCUGGGCACCAAUCAAGCGCCAACAUGCACAACCAUUAACUCCUUUAGAAUUGCCAUAGGCCUCUUAGUGGCUUGUUAAUUUCUUCAUUAUGGACUUUACUGUGCUCCAGGGUUAUUUAAUGCCUGGGAAAUAUUUCCUACCACUGAUUGGUGCUCUUAGAGAACCAUAUUCCAGAUUUGUUUGGAAUGUUCCUUCAUCUUUCUUGAUGUAGUUUUUGUAAGGAAAUGUACUAACCAACUGAGGGCCCUCCCAGAGACAGGUGUAUCUAACAUGAAAUCAUGUGAAACAGCUCAACUGCACACAGGUGGACUUCAUUAAAGUAAUUGUAUGGCAUCUAAAGACAACUGGUUGCGCCACAGUUUAUUUAUGGAAAAGGGGAUAAGGACUGGUGCAAUCAAUUAUAUUUUGUUUUAUAUUUGUGACUAAUUCAGAACAUUUAGCAGAUUUAGCUUUAAACUUUGACAGAAUGGAUUUGUUUGUGUAACUAAAACUCCUGAAUCAAAUACAUUUUAAUUUGAUGUUGUAACAACAUUUUAUUUGGGAUGACUCUGAAUGCAAAUGCACUGCUAGGGCAGGGCAGGACACACAGCUUUGUGACUUUUUUGCUUACCCAACUGAAUAUUUGUUUUACGUCAUUUUUAAAAGGAUAAUAUUUUUGGAAAGAAGCUGCAGAGCUCUGAAAGACAACAAAACAGCCCCAUCCAACAUCCAGCAUUCCUCCUGGGCAACACUGAGGCAAAUUUCUCCAUCAAUGCUCAACCCCCUGUUUGGCAGUGACACGGAGUGGGAAGUCCGCUUUUCAAAGUCUGCAGUUAUCCCAAGAAGAUGAGUAGCUGGGCGGUGUCACGUACAUCGCAGCUCUCAUCCAAAGCCAGAGAAAAAUCGACCGCUCUGUUCUUCAGCUGAAGCUCCAAGUUUCCAGCGAUGUCCUCAACCCGCCUCGUUACAGUGCAUCGGGAGAGUUAUACGUUCUCAAAUGCGCCCUUUUUCUCCGGGCACAACAACGCAACAGAGUCCAAUAAGCACUCCUUAAUAAACUCUCCGUCUGAAACGAUUUUUCUGGCGAUUUUGUGAGAAAUUACAUAACUUGU
Long non-coding RNA from Esox lucius (northern pike), 2029 nucleotides. RefSeq lists it as uncharacterized. The record is from RefSeq and is a predicted model, not a curated record. NCBI's taxonomy places the organism in Eukaryota, Metazoa, Chordata, Actinopteri, Esociformes, Esocidae. The transcript has 4 exons.